UUUAACUGGAGAGUUUGAUCCUGGCUCAGAAUCAACGCUGGCGGCGUGCCUAACACAUGCAAGUCGAGCGCGAAAGGGGAGCAAUCCCCGAGUAGAGCGGCGAACGGGUGAGUAACGCGUGGGUAAUCUACCUCCGAGUGGGGAAUAACAGCGGGAAACUGCUGCUA
RNAcentral lists this ribosomal RNA (167 nucleotides) under Acidobacteriota bacterium. RNAcentral's name for it is "Acidobacteria bacterium partial 16S ribosomal RNA". It matches the Rfam family "Bacterial small subunit ribosomal RNA", at positions 1 to 165 of the family's 1533-position model. The record is from RNAcentral. Lineage: Bacteria; Pseudomonadati; Acidobacteriota.